CAGCCGCCGCGGUAAUACCGGCGGCCCGAGUGGCGGUCACUAUUAUUUGGCUUAAAGCGUCCGUAGCCGGGUUGGGAAGUCCUCCGGGAAAUCUGGCCGCUUAACGGUCAGAAUGCCGGAGGAUACUCCCAGCCUAGGGAGCGGGAGAGGCCGAGGGGAUUCCCGGAGUAGGGGGGAAAUCCUAUAAUCCCGGGAGGACCACCAGUGGCGAAGGCGCUCGGCUGGAACGCGGCCGACGGUGAGGGACGAAGGCCAGGGGAGCAAACCGGAUUAGAUACCCGGGUAGUCCUGGCUGUAAACGAUGCGGACUUUGUGUCGGACAAGCUAUGAGCUUGUCCGGUGCCGGAGGGAAACCGUUAAGUCCGCCGCCUGGGGAGUACGGCCGCAAGGCUGAAACUUAAAGGAAUUGGCGGG
This 414-nucleotide ribosomal RNA is filed under the name uncultured microorganism. RNAcentral's name for it is "bacterial SSU rRNA". It matches the Rfam family "Archaeal small subunit ribosomal RNA", at positions 459 to 872 of the family's 1478-position model. The record is from RNAcentral.